GGGAUACCCGCUGAACUUAAGCAUA
Molecule: ribosomal RNA, 25 nt
Filed under: Sticta fuliginosa
Lineage: Eukaryota; Fungi; Ascomycota; Lecanoromycetes; Peltigerales; Lobariaceae
Also listed under: 1 other name
Description: partial 28S ribosomal RNA
Source: RNAcentral